GCCCUAGGCUUUGGGAUAACCCCGGGAAACCGGGGCUAAUACCGAAUAGGACCUCUGACCGCAUGGUUGGUGGUGGAAAGUUUUUCGGCCUGGGAUGGGCUCGCGGCCUAUCAGCUUGUUGGUGGGGUGAUGGCCUACCAAGGCGACGACGGGUAGCCGGCCUGAGAGGGCGACCGGCCACACUGGGACUGAGACACGGCCCAGACUCCUACGGGAGGCAGCAGUGGGGAAUAUUGCACAAUGGGCGGAAGCCUGAUGCAGCGACGCCGCGUGAGGGAUGACGGCCUUCGGGUUGUAAACCUCUUUCAGCAGGGACGAAGCGUAAGUGACGGUACCUGCAGAAGAAGCGCCGGCCAACUACGUGCCAGCAGCCGCGGUAAGACGUAGGGCGCGAGCGUUGUCCGGAUUUAUUGGGCGUAAAGAGCUCGUAGGCGGCUUGUCGCGUCGACUGUGAAAACCCGCAGCUCAACUGCGGGCCUGCAGUCGAUACGGGCAGGCUAGAGUUCGGUAGGGGAGACUGGAAUUCCUGGUGU
Molecule: ribosomal RNA, 533 nt
Filed under: Micromonospora sp. SAUK6014
Lineage: Bacteria; Bacillati; Actinomycetota; Actinomycetes; Micromonosporales; Micromonosporaceae
Description: bacterial SSU rRNA
Rfam family: Bacterial small subunit ribosomal RNA
Source: RNAcentral